Molecule: non-coding RNA, 28 nt
Filed under: Mus musculus (house mouse)
Lineage: Eukaryota; Metazoa; Chordata; Mammalia; Rodentia; Muridae
Source: RNAcentral
UGGUGUGUAUUUGUCUGGUGUCCGUUUG